ACUCCAAGGCGUUGAAGCUGUUUAGCAAGAUUGGAUUUUGGAGGCUUUCUUGGAAAUUCUGGUUCUUGGGCUAAUUGGUCUGUUAAAAAAGAAUCGGCGGCUUGACGGCGUUUUGAUCCGGUUCGGUGACUCGAUAGUGGUGAGUAGUGAGUCCGAGUUAGACUAUCCGACGAUGACGUGUCCUUAUUUCCUUAAUAUUUGUGGAUAAAAGCUCUUUUUGCCGAUUGAAGUCUUAUAUAAAUGUAUGAUUUGAUACAAAAAUAGAUUAAUAUAUUCAAUUUUAGUACAUAAUAUAGCAUUUAUAGCUCACUUAACCGCAUUUAUGUCUUAUUUAAUCGGAAAUUACUCUCCCUAUCUCGUUUAAAA
Long non-coding RNA from Mercurialis annua (annual mercury), 366 nucleotides. RefSeq lists it as uncharacterized. Lineage: Eukaryota; Viridiplantae; Streptophyta; Magnoliopsida; Malpighiales; Euphorbiaceae. The transcript has 2 exons. The record is from RefSeq and is a predicted model, not a curated record.